GGUAGAGAGGCUGUUUCCAAAUAGAACCCCGACAUCCUUCCCUCCAAGAACUUCCCACCUUGCUCUUGGGGAGACUCGAAGAACUUCCCACCUUGCUCUUGGGAAGACUCGAACUGACAACCUCUCGGUUGGAAGUGGGGGAUUGCUUACCAUCAGAGCAACCCCUCUUGUCUUAAUAUAUAGUUAUGUUAUAAUAUAUAUUCUAUAUAAUAAUACUUCGCUAUAAUAUUCAAAUAUAUUCGAAAC
RNAcentral lists this long non-coding RNA (246 nucleotides) under Nicotiana benthamiana. RNAcentral's name for it is "long non-coding RNA (NBEN_LNC027228)". The record is from RNAcentral. Lineage: Eukaryota; Viridiplantae; Streptophyta; Magnoliopsida; Solanales; Solanaceae.